RNAcentral lists this unclassified non-coding RNA (329 nucleotides) under soil metagenome. RNAcentral describes it as "partial contains 5.8S ribosomal RNA, internal transcribed spacer 2, and large subunit ribosomal RNA". The stretch from base 1 to 120 matches the Rfam family "5.8S ribosomal RNA", at positions 35 to 154 of the family's 154-position model. The record is from RNAcentral.
GAUGAAGAACGCAGCGAAAUGCGAUAAGUAAUGUGAAUUGCAGAAUUCAGUGAAUCAUCGAAUCUUUGAACGCACAUUGCGCCCCCUGGUAUUCCGGGGGGCAUGCCUGUCCGAGCGUCAUUACAACCCUCAAGCUCAGCUUGGUAUUGGGCCCCGCCGCUCCGGCGGGCCCUAAAGUCAGUGGCGGUGCCGUCCGGCUCCGAGCGUAGUAAUUCUUCUCGCUCUGGAGGUCCGGUCGUGUGCUCGCCAGCAACCCCCAAUUUUUUUCAGGUUGACCUCGGAUCAGGUAGGGAUACCCGCUGAACUUAAGCAUAUCAAUAAGCGGAGGA